GAGACUCUGUGCGCGUGCAUAUCAAUAAGCGGAGGAAAAGAAACUAACAAGGAUUCCCUUAGUAACGGCGAGUGAAGCGGGAAGAGCUCAAAUUUGAAAUCUUCAAGGUUCUACCUUGACGAAUUGUAGUUUAUAGAAGUGUUUUCUGUUAGUAGAGUGGCAAAAGUUCUUUGGAAUAGGACAUCAUAGAGGGUGAGAAUCCCGUAUUUGGUCAUUCUUUCUAGCUUUGUGAUACACUUUCAACGAGUCGGAUUGUUUGGGAAUGCAGUCCAAAAUGGGUGGUAAAUUUCAUCUAAAGCUAAAUAUUGGCGAGAGACCGAUAGCGAACAAGUACCGUGAGGGAAAGAUGAAAAGAACUUUGAAAAGAGAGUUAAACAGUACGUGAAAUUGUCAAAAGGGAAGCGUUUGACACCAGUGUUGUUUUUCCGAAAAUCAAUUACGAAUGUUUUAUUUUUGAGGAGUUAUGACUUCAUCGGCUUGCUCCUUUCUUUACGAAACUUUCUUAAUGCACUUUUCGGUUAACAAGUCAACAUCAAUUUCUUUUGUUGUAAAAGGGUAUGAGGAAGGUGGCUUUCUUUUCGGAGAAAGUGUUUAUAGCCUUGUGCCUCUGCAAUCGGAGAGAUUGAGGUCUGCAGCGUAGAUCCUUCGGGGUUAGAUACGUUUGUGCUAAGUUAUAGCUUUUCAUAGACAACUUGUUGACUAUGUUUAGUCUUGUAGCUUACUCGCUUAUGCUAUUUUACCUACGCUUAGGAUGUUGA
This 758-nucleotide ribosomal RNA is filed under the name uncultured Neocallimastigales. RNAcentral describes it as "partial large subunit ribosomal RNA". It matches the Rfam family "Eukaryotic large subunit ribosomal RNA", at positions 23 to 629 of the family's 3401-position model. The record is from RNAcentral. Lineage: Eukaryota; Fungi; Neocallimastigomycota; Neocallimastigomycetes; Neocallimastigales.